AACGAACGCUGGCGGCAUGCCUAACACAUGCAAGUCGAACGAGACCUUCGGGUCUAGUGGCGCACGGGUGCGUAACGCGUGGGAACCUGCCCUUAGGUUCGGAAUAACUCCCCGAAAGGGGUGCUAAUACCGGAUAAUGUCUUCGGACCAAAGAUUUAUCGCCUUUGGAUGGGCCCGCGUUGGAUUAGCUAGUUGGUAGGGUAAAAGCCUACCAAGGCGACGAUCCAUAGCUGGUCUGAGAGGAUGAUCAGCCACACUGAGACUGAGACACGGCCCAGACUCCUACGGGAGGCAGCAGUGGGGAAUAUUGGAAAAUGGGCGGAAGCCUGAUCCAGCAAUGCCGCGUAAGUGAUGAAGGCCUUAGGGUUGUAAAGCUCUUUUAACCGGGAUGAUAAUGACAGUACCGGGAGAAUAAGCUCCGGCUAACUACGUG
Molecule: ribosomal RNA, 433 nt
Filed under: uncultured bacterium
Lineage: Bacteria
Description: partial 16S ribosomal RNA
Rfam family: Bacterial small subunit ribosomal RNA
Source: RNAcentral